This 200-nucleotide ribosomal RNA is filed under the name uncultured bacterium. Its description in RNAcentral is "partial 16S ribosomal RNA". It matches the Rfam family "Bacterial small subunit ribosomal RNA", at positions 28 to 220 of the family's 1533-position model. The record is from RNAcentral.
GACGAACGCUGGCGGCGUGCCUAAUACAUGCAAGUAGAACGCUGAAGGAGGAGCUUGCUUCUCUGGAUGAGUUGCGAACGGGUGAGUAACGCGUAGGUAACCUGCCUGGUAGCGGGGGAUAACUAUUGGAAACGAUAGCUAAUACCGCAUAAUAGUAGAUGUUGCAUGACAUUUGCUUAAAAGGUGCAAUUGCAUCACUA